GAUUAGCUUGUUGGUGGGGUAACGGCUCACCAAGGCGACGAUCCCUAGCUGGUCUGAGAGGAUGACCAGCCACACUGGAACUGAGACACGGUCCAGACUCCUACGGGAGGCAGCAGUGGGGGAUAUUGCACAAUGGAGGAAACUCUGAUGCAGCAACGCCGCGUGAGGGAAGAAGGUCUUCGGAUUGUAAACCUUUGUCCUUGGUGACGAAACAAAUGACGGUAGCCAAGGAGGAAGCUCCGGCUAACUACGUGCCAGCAGCCGCGGUAAUACGUAGGGAGCAAGCGUUGUCCGGAUUUACUGGGUGUAAAGGGUGCGUAGGCGGCUCUGCAAGUCAGGCGUGAAAUACAUGGGCUUAACCCAUGGACUGCGUUUGAAACUGUGGAGCUUGAGUGGAGUAGAGGUAGGCGGAAUUCCCGGUGUAGCGGUGAAAUGCGUAGAGAUCGGGAGGAACACCAGUGGCGAAGGCGGCCUACUGGGCUUUAACUGACGCUGAGGCACGAAAGCAUGGGUAGCAAACAGGAUUAGAUACCCUGGUAGUCCAUGCUGUAUUCUUUUAUUACUAGGUGUGGGGGGUCUGACCCCUUCSGUGCCCGGAGUUAACACAAUAAGUAAUCCACC
This 621-nucleotide ribosomal RNA is filed under the name uncultured Caproiciproducens sp. Its description in RNAcentral is "bacterial SSU rRNA". It matches the Rfam family "Bacterial small subunit ribosomal RNA", at positions 239 to 873 of the family's 1533-position model. The record is from RNAcentral. Lineage: Bacteria; Bacillati; Bacillota; Clostridia; Eubacteriales; Acutalibacteraceae.